RNAcentral lists this ribosomal RNA (465 nucleotides) under uncultured bacterium. RNAcentral describes it as "partial 16S ribosomal RNA". It matches the Rfam family "Bacterial small subunit ribosomal RNA", at positions 338 to 795 of the family's 1533-position model. The record is from RNAcentral.
CCUACGGGAGGCAGCAGUGGGGAAUAAUGCGCAAUGGGCGAAAGCCUGACGCAGCGACGCCGCGUGAGGGAUGAAGGUCUUCGGAUCGUAAACCUCUGUCAGCAGGGAAGAACGGUCACUGUGCUAAUCAGCAGUGAAUUGACGGUACCUGCAAAGGAAGCACCGGCUAACUCCGUGCCAGCAGCCGCGGUAAUACGGAGGGGGCGAGCGUUAAUCGGAAUUACUGGGCGUAAAGCGCUCGUAGGCGGUAUGUCAAGUCAAGGGUGAAAUCCCCGCGCUCAACGUGGGAACUGCCUUUGAAACUGGCAAACUGGAGUGUGUGAGAGGAUAGUGGAAUUCCAGGUGUAGGAGUGAAAUCCGUAGAUAUCUGGAGGAACAUCAGUGGCGAAGGCGACUAGCUGGAACAUAACUGACGCUGAGGAGCGAAAGCGUGGGUAGCAAACAGGAUUAGAUACCCCAGUAGUC